CUCAACCCCGGAAUUGCAGAGGAUACUGGCAGGCUAGAGAACGGUAGAGGUCAACGGAAUUCCCGGUGUAGCGGUGGAAUGCGUAGAUAUCGGGAAGAACACCAGUGGCGAAGGCGGUUGACUGGGCCGUUUCUGACGCUCAUGCACGAAAGCGUGGGGAGCAAACAGGAUUAGAUACCCUGGUAGUCCACGCCGUAAACGAUGGGCACUAGAUGCCGGGCGUAUAGACGCGUUCGGUGUCGGAGCUAACGCAUUAAGUGCCCCGCCUGGGGAGUACGGCCGCAAGGCUGAAACUCAAAGGAAUUGACGGGGGCCCGCACAAGCGGUGGAGCAUGUGGUUUAAUUCGAANCAACGCGAAGAACCUUANCUGGGCUUGACAUAUAUGUGAAAGCCCCUGGAAACAGGGGCCCUCCUUCGGGACAC
RNAcentral lists this ribosomal RNA (424 nucleotides) under uncultured bacterium. RNAcentral's name for it is "bacterial SSU rRNA". It matches the Rfam family "Bacterial small subunit ribosomal RNA", at positions 608 to 1028 of the family's 1533-position model. The record is from RNAcentral.